Molecule: ribosomal RNA, 179 nt
Filed under: uncultured delta proteobacterium
Lineage: Bacteria; Deltaproteobacteria
Description: partial 16S ribosomal RNA
Rfam family: Bacterial small subunit ribosomal RNA
Source: RNAcentral
UAUCCAGGGCUACACACGUCCUACAAUGAACCGGUACAAAGGGAAGCAAGACCGCGAGGUGGAGCAAAUCCCAAAAAGCCGGACCUCAGUGCGGAUUGCAGUCUGCAACUCGACUGCAUGAAGUUGGAAUCGCUAGUAAUCGCAGAUCAGCACGCUGCGGUGAAUAAGUUCUCGGGUUU